UCUUGACACAUGCUAAUCGAACGUUUUAAUAGGUAGCUUGCUACAUAAAUUAAAAAGUGGUGUACAGGUGAGUAUAAUGAUAUUCUUAGCCGACCUUAAAGUGGAGGUAAAUCCUUCAUAAUACAUAAAGGGAUAUGUAAUCCUGCUUUAAGAGGACAAUAAAUAUCUUCGAGAUAGGUAGUAGUUAAGGUGAUGGCUUAACUAGCCUAAAACUCUCGUAGUCGAAUCUGAAAGGUUGAUCGACCACAUUGGGUCUGAAAAAACCCCAAUGCAAGUUAGUACAGCAGUGAGGAAUCUUGGUCAAUGGCCUAACGGCUGAACUGGCAACUUGGAGAAGUGGCAAGUCUUAUUUUGAUUAUAUUAUUAUAUAUAAUCUAUAAGAUUGUAUUAAAAUUGAAUAAAGCUUUGUUUAUAUAUCGAUAAUGACGGUAUAUAUAUCGUGUCUUGGCUAAUUACGUGCCAGCAGCCGCGGUAAUACGUAAGAGACUAGUGUUAUUCAUCUUAAUUAGGUUUAAAGGGUACCUAGACGGUCAAUAUAGCUUCUAUAAUGUUAGUACUUGACUAGAGUUUGAUAUAAGAGGGCAGUACUUGAGGAGGAGAGAUGAAAUUCUAUUAUACCAAAGGGACUCGGUAAAGGCGAAGGCAGCCCUCUAUGUAAAAACUGACGUUGAAGGACGAAGGCACAGAGCACAAACAGGAUUAGAUACCCAAGUAGUCUUUGCAGUAAAUGAUGAAUGUCAUAGGUUAGAUUAAGCUUUAAUAAAUUAGUUUAUCAGUAAUGAACUAACUAUUAAACAAUAUUUAGUCUAUAAAUGAAAGUGUAAGCAUUCCACCUCAAGAGUAAUGUGGCAACGCAGGAACUGAAAUCACUAGACCGUUUCUGACACCAGUAGUGAACUAUGUUAUUUAAUUCGAUAA
RNAcentral lists this ribosomal RNA (918 nucleotides) under Metarhizium cylindrosporum. Its description in RNAcentral is "SSU rRNA". It matches the Rfam family "Bacterial small subunit ribosomal RNA", at positions 46 to 957 of the family's 1533-position model. The record is from RNAcentral. Lineage: Eukaryota; Fungi; Ascomycota; Sordariomycetes; Hypocreales; Clavicipitaceae.